UCUCGAUGAUGAUUAACACAGAUGACGAGUCCGAUGAAUCCAUUCAUAAAAUCGUGUGGACAAAACGAGGCAUUUGUCUGAGAGAA
Spinacia oleracea (spinach) is the source of this 86-nucleotide non-coding RNA. NCBI's taxonomy places the organism in Eukaryota, Viridiplantae, Streptophyta, Magnoliopsida, Caryophyllales, Amaranthaceae. The record is from Rfam.